GGAUAUCCAUCAGGAUCUAUCUCAAACUUUUUUCUUCUCAUAGAAGAUUCUUCUUCUCAAGAAGAACCUUGGCCUUGAAAAUUUUGAUCAACUCCUUUGAUCUUAACUUUGAGAUCAACUCUUUGAUCUAUAGCCUUCUUCUUCUUCUUCUCGAUCCUUGAUCUCUAAGUCACCAGUACUUCUUCUUGGCAUGUGGAAGAGAGAG
RNAcentral lists this long non-coding RNA (205 nucleotides) under Elaeis guineensis (African oil palm). RNAcentral describes it as "long non-coding RNA (EGUI_LNC051956)". The record is from RNAcentral. Lineage: Eukaryota; Viridiplantae; Streptophyta; Magnoliopsida; Arecales; Arecaceae.